RNAcentral lists this ribosomal RNA (277 nucleotides) under uncultured soil bacterium. Its description in RNAcentral is "partial 16S ribosomal RNA". The record is from RNAcentral.
AUCACUCACGCGGCAUUGCUGGAUCAGGCUUUCGCCCAUUGUCCAAUAUUCCCCACUGCUGCCUCCCGUAGGAGUCUGGGCCGUGUCUCAGUCCCAGUGUGGCUGAUCAUCCUCUCAGACCAGCUAUGGAUCGUACGCCUUGGUGAGCCUUUACCUCACCAACUAGCUAAUCCGACGCGGGCUCAUCCCUAGGCGAUAAAUCUUUGGUCCGAAGACAUCAUACGGUAUUAGCACACGUUUCCAUGCGGUUAUUCCGAACCUAAGGGCAGAUUCCCAC